RNAcentral lists this ribosomal RNA (301 nucleotides) under uncultured bacterium. Its description in RNAcentral is "partial 16S ribosomal RNA". It matches the Rfam family "Bacterial small subunit ribosomal RNA", at positions 509 to 807 of the family's 1533-position model. The record is from RNAcentral.
CAGUCGCCACGGUAAUACGGAGGGUGCAAGCGUUAAUCGGAAUUACUGGGCGUAAAGCGUGCGUAGGCGGUUCGUUAAGUCUGUUGUGAAAGCCCCGGGCUCAACCUGGGAACUGCAUUUGUGACUGGCGAGCUAGAGUAUGGCAGAGGGGGGUAGAAUUCCGCGUGUAGCAGUGAAAUGCGUAGAUAUGCGGAGGAACACCGAUGGCGAAGGCAGCCCCCUGGGCCAAUACUGACGCUCAUGCACGAAAGCGUGGGGAGCAAACAGGAUUAGAGACCCCAGUAGUCCCUGUCUCUUAUAC